Molecule: non-coding RNA, 75 nt
Organism: Heligmosomoides polygyrus
Lineage: Eukaryota; Metazoa; Nematoda; Chromadorea; Rhabditida; Heligmosomidae
Source: Rfam
GCGCCGGUGGUGUAAUGGCGUAGUGCAUUCCCGCCCGGUCAGAGGGAGGUGCGGGUUCGAGUCCCGCCUGGCGCU